Molecule: ribosomal RNA, 497 nt
Filed under: uncultured bacterium
Lineage: Bacteria
Description: partial 16S ribosomal RNA
Rfam family: Bacterial small subunit ribosomal RNA
Source: RNAcentral
GAUGAACGCUGGCGGCGUGCCUAAUACAUGCAAGUCGAGCGAACAGACGAGGAGCUUGCUCCUCUGACGUUAGCGACGGACGGGUGAGUAACACGUGGAUAACCUACCUAUAAGACUGGGAUAACUUCGGGAAACCGGAGCUAAUACCGGAUAAUAUAUUGAACCGCAUGGUGCAAUAGUGAAAGACGGUUUUGCUGUCACUUAUAGAUGGAUCCGCGCCGCAUUAGCUAGUGGGUAAGGUAAGGGCUUACGAAGGCAAGGAUGCGUAGCCGACCUGAUAGGGUGAUCGCCCACCCUGGAACUGAGACACGCUCCAUACUCCUACGGGAGGCAGCAGUCGGGAAUCUUCCGCAAUGGGCGAAAGCCUGACGGAGCAACGCCGCGUGAGUGAUGAAGGUCUUCGGAUCGUAAAACUCUGUUAUUAGGGAAGAACAAAUGUGUAAGUAACUAUGCACGUCUUGACGGUACCUAAUCAGAAAGCCACGGCUAACUACGUG